This 483-nucleotide ribosomal RNA is filed under the name Triticum aestivum (bread wheat). Its description in RNAcentral is "partial small subunit ribosomal RNA". The record is from RNAcentral. Lineage: Eukaryota; Viridiplantae; Streptophyta; Magnoliopsida; Poales; Poaceae.
AUGAUGCAUCUGGCUCGUACUUUCAUAAUAAUACAUGUUCCCAUCUCUUGGAUGCUGAAUAUUGUUAAGCUAAAUAUCCUUGGGAUAUGGUUCUGUUGCAGCUCAGUAAGAAAAACACCAAAUUGCAGAUACCAUUUAUGUGUGUUCGUGUCUGGUUGGAGUGCCAAAGAUCUUUGCAUCAUUCAUCGCCACCAUGCCGCCAAGUGGGCAUGGAAUCAAUUGUUUUAUUAUCUUUUACUUUCCAAUGCCUGUGCAACUUUGGCAGAAAUUACUGGUGUAGAUUCAUACGUAUUUAUUGCAGUAUGUUAUAAUCUUGAGGCAGAAGGUGCAUUACCUCUCCUGCAAUUAUCCAUAAGUCCUAUUGUGGACAAUGAUAAAGGGAUUAGUGGCUCACCAACCACUGUUCUGUAUUGCAUGGGCAUUGAUACGAGACGUAUGCCACUGACCUGCACGCUGAUCGUGCUCAGUGUGAAUACUGUCUAA